GGCCCAGUGGCGGACGGUCCGCGCCUGCUCCUAGUACAGUAACAUCGAAGAUGGUGCACGCAGGGGACGCUCGUUCGACUCGAGCCUGGGUCA
Non-coding RNA from Mycena latifolia, 93 nucleotides. Lineage: Eukaryota; Fungi; Basidiomycota; Agaricomycetes; Agaricales; Mycenaceae. The record is from the annotation of a GenBank genome assembly.